UCUGGGGUGCCAUUCCUGGAAGGCAGGAGGUUGGCUGAAGAAGACAUCUUUUACAAACAUUUAGGAAGUGAGAUGGUGAGGUUCCUUCCUGAUUUAGAAUUAAUUGAGGGUUCCUCCCGCCAUUUGAAUUGGAUGAGAAGAACGGUCUUUGUUUUCCUGGCUGAGACAUAAGAGAACAAGCUUGUAAUUUCAUGCUUGGGCAUUAGAUGCAUUUUUGGAAAGCAGUGAUCAUGUCCACUCCACACUCAUUCAUAAAAGGCAAUGUGCUGUCCUGCAAAGAUGACUGGACUGUGAGACAGGAGAUGAGAGAAUAUCUAAUAUUUUUCUGUGUUUAUUCUCUGCUAUUCAGUGUUAAAUUACUCUUUACGGCACAAUGGGGUCUCACUCUGUCACCCAGCCUGGAAUACAG
Molecule: small RNA, 409 nt
Filed under: Pongo abelii (Sumatran orangutan)
Lineage: Eukaryota; Metazoa; Chordata; Mammalia; Primates; Hominidae
Description: sense intronic
Source: RNAcentral